Molecule: ribosomal RNA, 484 nt
Filed under: uncultured bacterium
Lineage: Bacteria
Description: partial 16S ribosomal RNA
Rfam family: Bacterial small subunit ribosomal RNA
Source: RNAcentral
AUUGAGCGCUGGCGGCAGGCCUAACACAUGCAAGUCGAGCGGAUGAAGGGAGCUUGCUCCUGGAUUCAGCGGCGGACGGGUGAGUAAUGCCUAGGAAUCUGCCUGGUAGUGGGGGAUAACGUCCGGAAACGGGCGCUAAUACCGCAUACGUCCUGAGGGAGAAAGUGGGGGAUCUUCGGACCUCACGCUAUCAGAUGAGCCUAGGUCGGAUUAGCUAGUUGGCGGGGUAAAGGCCUACCAAGGCGACGAUCCGUAACUGGUCUGAGAGGAUGAUCAGUCACACUGGAACUGAGACACGGUCCAGACUCCUACGGGAGGCAGCAGUGGGGAAUAUUGGACAAUGGGCGAAAGCCUGAUCCAGCCAUGCCGCGUGUGUGAAGAAGGUCUUCGGAUUGUAAAGCACUUUAAGUUGGGAGGAAGGGCAGUAAGUUAAUACCUUGCUGUUUUGACGUUACCAACAGAAUAAGCACCGGCUAACUUCGUG